UUGGUAAAGAAGAAACGGCCGUUUCUCACCUUACGGUUAUGCUGUAUGGUCAAGGAUUCAUGGAUUUAUCAAUGAGUUUUGAGGACGGUUCAUACCGUCCUUUUUUAUUAUC
Non-coding RNA from Youngiibacter fragilis 232.1, 112 nucleotides. The record is from Rfam. NCBI's taxonomy places the organism in Bacteria, Bacillati, Bacillota, Clostridia, Eubacteriales, Clostridiaceae.